AUGGCGCCGUCGCACAGGAACGGAGGAGACCGGCUGAGCGCUCUCCCGGACAAGGCGCUAGAGCGCGUCCUCUCCCACCUAAUGUCCGACGAGGCCGUGCGCACCAGCGGGCUCUCCCGGCGAUGGCACCACGUCUACGAGGGCGUCCCCGUCGUCCACCUCGUCGACACCAAGUCAGGCGAACGGCACGGCCGCAGCGGCGGCCUCAAGGUCUGCUUCGACCACCAGGUGACGAGCACGAUCGUGGGCAAGGCCGCGGAGACGCCGAUCCGCACCUUCCGCGUCACCGUGCUCCACCCCCCGUACGACCUGCUCGACCAGUGGAUCGCCACCGCCGUGAAAUCCGGCGUUGAGGACCUCGACGUCAAGCUCAGGUACUGGGACGACGCCAUGAACACGCUCUGCCCCUUCCUCCGUUGCCCGUACAGCGGUGAUAAGCACUCGGCGGACUUCGACAAACACAACAGGGGCAGGUUCACCAGGACGCACCCCCACAUCUUCGGCUGCCCCACGCUCCGGCGGCUGCGGCUGGCCAACUGGACGCUCGAUCUGCCCGGAAGCGUGGACAUGGCGUUGCUGGACACGCUCUGCCUCGCGAGGAUCAUGGACCCCUACGGGGAGCUGCAGCAGCUGAUCUCCGCCUGCCCCCUCAUCACCAAACUGACGCUGGAGGAGUGCCCGACCAUCAAGGAGAUAGCGGUGACGCCUGCCCGCCUGCGGAGCUUCACCAUGAUCUGCUGCCACAACGCCACCAGCGUCGAUCUUCGCACCACCUGCGUGCAGUCGCUGCACUACAAAGGAGGCCUCCCUGCUCGUGAUGCACCGUUCAUCACGGUCGCGGAUUACGAAGGAAUCAUGGCGGUGAAGGUUGAAAUCUGCGGAAAACUCAACGGGACUGAUCGAGACGACGUUGCUCCGGUCACAAGGCUCAUCGGCCAGUGCACCAAGCUGGAGUAUCUUCACCUUUCCUUGCGCCCAUCGAUGGCAUACAACAGCAGCCUGUUCGCCAGUGUCAUACGCGGCCUGCAUAGCCUCACGCACCUGAGCCUCCAGGGCUGCUUGCCCACCGAAGACGCCGUCCGGUCGGUCUCUGCUUUGCUUGUCGACGCCAAGAACCUGAAAGUACUGUCGCUGUUUCCUCUGGGUCCAGAGCCUCCAAAGAACAAGAGAAUGCGUAUGUACAGGGACCAAGACGACGACAAAUCGGAUUCAGAUAGUGAGCCAGAAGAGGGUCCGGCCGUCAGCGAUGGCGUCCAGUACCGAAUGCCCAAGACUCUGUGGAAAACGCACGUCAGGUGCUUGGCUUACAAGGUGAGAAGAAUCAACAUUGGAAACUUCCAAGGGCGGCCUCUCGAGAAGAUGCUUGCAAGGUUUCUGCUCUCCAGGGCUGCAGCUUUGGAGGAAUUCUCUGUUACCUUAGCACCUGAAGUUCAUCCACAGAAGGAUGAGAUUACGAAGGAGUUAAUAUCCUGGCGACAAAAUCGC
RNAcentral lists this ribosomal RNA (1485 nucleotides) under Triticum aestivum (bread wheat). Its description in RNAcentral is "partial small subunit ribosomal RNA". Lineage: Eukaryota; Viridiplantae; Streptophyta; Magnoliopsida; Poales; Poaceae. The record is from RNAcentral.